This 381-nucleotide ribosomal RNA is filed under the name uncultured eukaryote. Its description in RNAcentral is "partial 18S ribosomal RNA". It matches the Rfam family "Eukaryotic small subunit ribosomal RNA", at positions 592 to 976 of the family's 1831-position model. The record is from RNAcentral.
CAAUAGCGUAUAUUAAAGUUGUUGCGGUUAAAAAGCUCGUAGUUGGAUUUCUGCUGAGAACGACCGGUCCGCCCUUUGGGUGUGUAUCUGGCUCUUUCUUGGCAUCUUCUUGGUGAACGUUGCUGCACUUGACUGUGUGGAGCGCUACCCAGGACUUUUACUUUGAGGAAAUUAGAGUGUUUCAAGCAGGCAUACGCCUUGAAUACAUUAGCAUGGAAUAAUAGCAUAGGACUUUGGUUCUAUUUGUUGGUUGUUCGAGAACCGGAGUAAUGAUUGAUAGGGACGGUUGGGGGCAUCCGUAUUCUCAAGCGAGAGGUGAAAUUCUUGGACCUUGGGAAGACGAACAGCUGCGAAAGCGUUUGCCUAGGACGUUCUCUUUAA